Molecule: ribosomal RNA, 465 nt
Filed under: uncultured bacterium
Lineage: Bacteria
Description: partial 16S ribosomal RNA
Rfam family: Bacterial small subunit ribosomal RNA
Source: RNAcentral
GACGAACGCUGGCGGCGUGCUUAACACAUGCAAGUCGAACGGAAAGGCCCUGCUUGCAGGGUACUCGAGUGGCGAACGGGUGAGUAACACGUGGGUGAUCUGCCCUGCACUUCGGGAUAAGCCUGGGAAACUGGGUCUAAUACCGGAUAGGAGCCAUUUUUAGUGAGAUGGUUGGAAAGUUUUUUCGGUGUAGGAUGAGCUCGCGGCCUAUCAGCUUGUUGGUGGGGUAAUGGCCUACCAAGGCGGCGACGGGUAGCCGGCCUGAGAGGGUGGACGGCCACAUUGGGACUGAGAUACGGCCCAGACUCCUACGGGAGGCAGCAGUGGGGAAUAUUGCACAAUGGGCGCAAGCCUGAUGCAGCGACGCCGCGUGGGGGAGGACGGCCUUCGGGUUGUAAACUCCUUUCGCUAGGGACGAAGCUUUUUGCGACGGUACCUAGAGAAGAAGCACCGGCUAACUACGUG